Magnolia sinica is the source of this 349-nucleotide long non-coding RNA. RefSeq lists it as uncharacterized. The record is from RefSeq and is a predicted model, not a curated record. Lineage: Eukaryota; Viridiplantae; Streptophyta; Magnoliopsida; Magnoliales; Magnoliaceae. The transcript has 2 exons.
AAGGAGGUGGGUGUGACUGCAACGGAACAGAUGAGGGGAGUAGUGUUGGUGCUCCGGACGGAUGAGAAAACGUACGGACGCAUCAAAGUGUAUGAGUCAUUUGGGAUGGGGGCGCUCGGUGUCACUUCUUUUUAUUGUAUGCCCAAGCAACUGAUGAAAACCCACCUCUCUCUCUCUCUCUCUCUCUCUCUCUCUCUCUCUCUCUCUCUCUCUCUCUCUCUCUCUAACUUCGUCCUCCUUUCCUCCUAUUCGUUCCGCAGUUAGCUUCUCAUUGACGGGUGAAUCUGGAUCGUUUAUCGGGCGGGCAACUUUGUUCACGCUACAUCUCAGUUAUUAGUAUCUGAGCCGU